RNAcentral lists this ribosomal RNA (495 nucleotides) under uncultured bacterium. RNAcentral describes it as "partial 16S ribosomal RNA". It matches the Rfam family "Bacterial small subunit ribosomal RNA", at positions 28 to 507 of the family's 1533-position model. The record is from RNAcentral.
GACGAACGCUGGCGGCGUGCCUAAUACAUGCAAGUAGAACGCUGAAGGAGGAGCUUGCUCUUCUGGAUGAGUUGCGAACGGGUGAGUAACGCGUAGGUAACCUGCCUGGUAGCGGGGGAUAACUAUUGGAAACGAUAGCUAAUACCGCAUAACAGUAGAUGUUGCAUGACAUUUGCUUAAAAGGUGCAAUUGCACCACUACCAGAUGGACCUGCGUUGUAUUAGCUAGUUGGUGGGGUAACGGCUCACCAAGGCGACGAUACAUAGCCGACCUGAGAGGGUGAUCGGCCGCACUGGGACUGGGACACGGCCCAGACUCCUACGGGAGGCAGCAGUAGGGAAUCUUCGGCAAUGGACGGAAGUCUGACCGAGCAACGCCGCGUGAGUGAAGAAGGUUUUCGGAUCGUAAAGCUCUGUUGUAAGAGAAGAACGAGUGUGAGAGUGGAAAGUUCACACUGUGACGGUAUCUGACCAGAAAGGGACGGCUAACUACGUG